UUACGUAUGUUAGUAGAACUCGUGUGUCAAUUUCAACCGUUAUAAUAUACAUAGUAAUUGAAAGACAUAGGUAUAUAAAGCUAAUUUUAUUCAUCUUUAAUUUGGAGAGAUGAUGGCGAAUCUACGACCAUUAUAAAGCCCAGACUCCACCAGUCCCAUGUACCAGUACGACGAAUUUGAAAAUAAUAUCACGGAUAAAGUGUUUCGCCCAAUUUGCUAACUGAGGCGAUACAAACAUAGGCUCUGAUUAGUAGGAUCAGUAUUUCAUGAAAUGGUUACAGUUGGAAGACCAGAAGCGAUUUGCCAAGAACUGACAGUUACAGAUCAUCCAGUUAUUUCAUUCACACAUAAUUUAAAAGCGAAUGGUUAUAUAUAUAUUACCAGCAGAAAAUAUGAUAGAUAAUUUACCAACCUCAUCUACUGAUAAAAACAAUACUGACACAUCACCUAUUUUUUGAGGAACUGGAUCCAACAAGAAUUAAUGCCAAUUCGUUAUGGAGGGGGAAUAAAUUCUACUUUAGACUGUGAUAUUACAGUCA
Molecule: long non-coding RNA, 539 nt
Organism: Patella vulgata (common limpet)
Lineage: Eukaryota; Metazoa; Mollusca; Gastropoda; Patellidae
Exons: 3
Source: RefSeq, a predicted model, not a curated record